Molecule: non-coding RNA, 2860 nt
Organism: Ostreococcus tauri
Lineage: Eukaryota; Viridiplantae; Chlorophyta; Mamiellophyceae; Mamiellales; Bathycoccaceae
Source: Rfam
AAUCAAUCAACAAAGAGUAUAUGGUGGAGAUCUAGGGACCUAGAGCCGAUGAAGGGCGUGAUAACCGACGAUAUGCUUCGGGGAGCAGGACGUAUGCUUUGAUCCGAAGAUUCCCGAAUAGGGCAACCUAAAACAUUCCUUCUUGAAUUCAUAGAGAAGAGAAAGACAACCCAGUGAACUGAAACAUCUUAGUAGCUGGAGGAAAAGAAAGCAAAAGCGAUUCCCAAAGUAGCGGCGAGCGAAAUGGGACCAGUCUAAAAGAAAAAUUUAUUUUUCUGGUUAUAGGACCAAACACAAAGGUAUAGAAAUUGAUGAGAAACGAAGCAGCUGAAUCCUGCGCCAUAGAUGGUGAAAGCCCAGUCGUUGAACCUUCACUCAAUGCCGUUUGGCUCCCAAGUAGUAUGGGGCACGUGAAAUCCCGUAUGAAUUCGCCAGGACCACCUGGUAAGACUAAAUACUCCUAGGUCACCGAUAGCGAAAAGUACCGCGAGGGAAAGAUGAAAAGAACCCCUAUUCGGGGAGUGAAAUAGAACAUGAAACCGUAUACUUACAAUUGGUAGGAGGAUGAACACAUCUGACUGCAUGCCUGUUGAAGAAUGAUCUGGCGACUUACGGUAAGUGGCAUGGUUAAGAUUUUUCAUCGAAGCCAAAGCGAAAGCAUGUCUGAAUAGGGCACUCGUCCCUUAUCGUAGACCCGAACCCAGGUGAUCUAACCAUGACCAGAAUGAAGCUUUGGUGAAACGAAGUGGAGGUUCGAACCGACCGAUGUUGAAAAAUCGACGGAUGAGUUGUGGUUAGGGGUGAAAUGCCAAUCGAACUUGGAGCUAGCUGGUUCUCCUCGAAAUGCGUUGAGGCGCAGCGGUUAUUUAUGAACUCUCAUGGGGUAAAGCUCUGUUUCGGUGCGGGCUGCGAAAGCGGUACCAAUCUGUUGCAAACUCGGAAUACGUGAGAUGAUUUCAAAUAGCCAGUGAGACUGCGGGGGACAAGCUUCGUAGUCAAAAGGGAAACAGCCCAGACCAUCAGUUAAGGCUCCUAAAUAAAAGCUAAGUGGUAAAGGAGGUGAAAAUGCUGUGACAAUCAGGAGGUUUGCCUAGAAGCAGCCACCCUCUAAGGAGUGCGUAAUAGCUCACUGAUCAAGCGUUUUUGCGCCGAAAAUUUCCGGAACUAAGUUUUUUGCCGAAGCUAUGGAUAUAUUCUCUUAUAGAAUAUGUGGUAGAGGAGCGUUCCGCCCAGGGAGAAGCCAAGCGCGUAAGCCGCGGUGGACAGGGCGGAAGUGAGAAUGUCAGAUUGAGUAACGAAAACACUAGUGAGAAUCUAGUGCCCCGAAAACGUAAGGGUUCCUCUGCAAGGCUCGUCCUCAGAGGGUCAGUCAGGACCUAAGGUGAGGCCGAAAGGCGUAAUCGAUGGAAAGAAGGUUUAUAUUCCUUCACCGUUAUUUUAUUAGUCCUAAGGGACGAACAAAUGAAGCGAAAGAAAUUUGCCACCUUGGCCGGUGGAAGAACGAAUUGCUUGUCCCUCCAUUUUUUCCAAGAAAAGCUUAUCGACUUUGAUAAAAUAGCGCCUGUACCGUAAACCGACACAGGUACGUGGGUUGAAUAAACUAAGGGGAGCGAGAUAACUCUCUCUAAGGAACUCGGCAAAUUGGCUCUGUACCUUCGGAAGAAAGAGUGCCCUUGUAAAAGGGCCGCAGUGAAGAGAUCCAGGCGACUGUUUACCAAAAACACAGGUCUCCGCAAAGUCGUAAGACGAUGUAUGGGGGCUGACACCUGCCCAGUGCCAGAAGGUUAAAGAAGUUGGUUAGUUUCGACGAAGCUGACGACUGAAGCCCUGGUGAACGGCGGCAGUAACUAUAACUGUCCUAAGGUAGCGAAAUUCCUUGUCGGGUAAGUUCCGACCCGCACGAAAGGUGUAACGAUCUGGAUACUGUCUCAGAGAGAGGCUCGGUGAAAUAAAAAUAUCUGUGAAGAUGCGGAUUACCUGCACGCGGACAGAAAGACCCUAUGAAGCUUUACUGUACCCUGGAAUUGCUCUCAAGCUUGCUUUGCGCAGCUUAGGUGGGAGACGUUGAACUUCUUUUUCCGGAAAGGAGGGAGUCAUCAGUGAGAUACCACUCUUAGUAAGCUAGAGCGCUCAUUUCUUACCGUUAUCCGGUAGAAAGACAGUUUCAGGCGGGCAGUUUGACUGGGGCAGUCACCUCCCAAAAGGUAAUGGAGGUGUACAAAGGUUCGCUCAGGCUGGACGGAAAUCAGCCAUAGAGUGUAAAAGCAAAAGCGAGCUUGACUGCGAGACUGACAUGUCAAGCAGAGACGAAAGUCGGUUUUAGUGAUCCGACGGUGCUGAGUGGAAAGGCCGUCGCUCAACGGAUAAAAGUUACUCUAGGGAUAACAGGCUAAUCUCCCCCAAGAGUUCACAUCGACGGGGAGGUUUGGCACCUCGAUGUCGGCUUAUCGCAUCCUGGAGCGGAAGUACGUUCCAAGGGUUGGGCUGUUCGCCCAUAGAAAGCGGUACAUGAGCUGGGUUCAGAACGUCGUGAGACAGUUUGGUCCAUAUCCCGUGUAGGCGUUUAGAACAUUGAAAGGAUCUCCCCUUUGUACGAGAGGACCAGGUGGGGACAAUCCGCUAGUGUACCAGUUAUUCCGCCAGGGGUAAACGCUGGGUAGCUAUGAUUGGAGCAAAUAACUGCUGAAAGCAUAUAAGUAGGAAGUUCACCUUAAGAUGAGUGUUCUUUGUCUAUGAAACUUUAAGUUUCAACAAUGACAGUAAGAUCACGGCAAGACUAGCCGUUUAAUAGGCGUAAUGUAGACGCGCAGUAAUGCGUUUUGAAGCUGAUACGUACUAAUAGAUCGAAGGAUUUGAUUUU